GAAUUCCAGCUUGCUGGAAUGACCGUACCAUACGAAUAAGGGGCCGCUAAACUCGUGCCAGCAGCGGCGGUAAUACGAGUGCCCCAAGCGUUAUCCGGAAUUAUUGGGCGUAAAGCGUGGGUAGGCGGUCUUGAUAGUGGUUGGUUAAAUGCCGAGGCUUAACCUCGGUCCGGCCGAUCAAACGUCAAGACUAGAGCAGGUGAGAGGCUGAUGGAACUUACCAAGUAGGGGUGAAAUCCGUUGAUAUGGUANGGAACACCAAAGGCGAAGGCAUUCAGCUGGUGCCUGGCUGACGCUGAGCCACGAAAGCGUGGGGAGAGAAAAGGAUUAGAUACCCUUGUAUUCCACGCCCUAAACGAUGCCAACUAGCCGUUGGGAGUAUCGACCCUCUCAGUGGCGAAGCUAACGCGUUAAGUUGGCCGCCUGGGAAGUACGGCCGCAAGGCUAAAACUCAAAGGAAUAGACGGGGGCUCGCACAAGCGGUGGACCAUGUGGUUUAAUUCGACGACACGCGAGGAACCUUACCAGGGCUAGACAGCCUGAUGAAAGCCCAUCGAAAGACGGGUCUUCUUACAAGGACAUCAGGUCCAGGUGCUGCACGGUUGUCGUCAGUUUGUACUGUGAAGCGCUCCCUUAAUUGGGGAAACAAACGCAACCCUUACUCUGCGUUACAAGUGUCGCAGGGGACUGCCUCUGGAUAAGAGGAGGAAGGUGGGGACGACGUCAAAUCAGCGUGGCCCUUUGAUGCCCUGGGCGACACACAUGGUACAAUGGCCAAGACAAUGGGUUGCCAAGCCGUAAGGCGGAGCUAAUCCCAUCAAACUUGGUCCCAGUUCGGAUUGAGGGCUGCAAUUCGCCCUCAUGAAGCUGGAAUCGCUAGUAAUCGCGAAUCAGCCAUGUCGCGGUGAAUACGUUCUCGAGCCUUGUACUCACUGCCCGUCACAUUAGGGAAGCCGGUAGUACCCGAAGUGUCGUCUUAGACGACCCUAAGGUAAGAUCGGUGACCAGAAUGAAGUCGUAACAAGGUAACCUUAAUUAAAA
RNAcentral lists this ribosomal RNA (1041 nucleotides) under uncultured bacterium. RNAcentral describes it as "bacterial SSU rRNA". It matches the Rfam family "Bacterial small subunit ribosomal RNA", at positions 447 to 1511 of the family's 1533-position model. The record is from RNAcentral.